RNAcentral lists this ribosomal RNA (497 nucleotides) under uncultured bacterium. Its description in RNAcentral is "partial 16S ribosomal RNA". It matches the Rfam family "Bacterial small subunit ribosomal RNA", at positions 28 to 507 of the family's 1533-position model. The record is from RNAcentral.
GACGAACGCUGGCGGCGUGCCUAACACAUGCAAGUCGAGCGGUGAAGCCCGGUACUUGUACCAACCGGAUGAGGAGCGAACGGGUGAGUAACGCGUGGGGCAUCUGCCUUUGAUCGGGGGACAACAAGGGGAAUCGAAUGCUAAUCGCGCAUAAAAACCUUAAACACAAGUUGUAAGUGUGAAAGAUGCAGUUGCAUCACUGAAACAUGACCUCUCGGUGUAUUAGUUAGUUGGUGAGGUACAGGCGCACGAAGGCGAUGAUACAUAGCCGACCUGACAGGGCGGUUGGCCAGCUUGAGACUGAGACAGGGCCCAAGCGCCUACGGGAAGCAGCAGUAGGGAAUCUUCGGGAAUGGAUGGGAGUCUGGGCGAGCAACGCCGCAGGAGUGUAGAAGGGUGUCGGGUCGUAGAUCUCGGUUUGUAGGGAAGAACGUUCUUGAGAGUGGAAAGCUCAGGAAGUGACGGUAACUACUCAAGAAGCAACGGCUAACUACGUG